GACACUAUGUGUUGUUGGGUAGGGGAGCGUUCUGUAAGCCUGUGAAGGUGUGUCGUGAGGCAUGCUGGAGGUAUCAGAAGUGCGAAUGCUGACAUAAGUAACGAUAAAGCGGGUGAAAAGCCCGCUCGCCGGAAGACCAAGGGUUCCUGUCCAACGUUAAUCGGGGCAGGGUGAGUCGACCCCUAAGGCGAGGCCGAAAGGCGUAGUCGAUGGGAAACGGGUUAAUAUUCCCGUACUUGGUGUUACUGCGAAGGGGGGACGGAGAAGGCUAUGUUGGCCGGGCGACGGUUGUCCCGGUUUAAGCGUGUAGGUGUGUGUUCCAGGUAAAUCCGGUUCACUUUAACACUGAGGCGUGACGACGAGGCACUACGGUGCUGAAGCAACAAAUGCCCUGCUUCCAGGAAAAGCCUCUAAGCAUCAGGUAACAUCAAAUCGUACCCCAAACCGACACAGGUGGUCAGGUAGAGAAUACCAAGGCGCUUGAGAGAACUCGGGUGAAGGAACUAGGCAAAAUGGUGCCGUAACUUCGGGAGAAGGCACGCUGACACGUAGGUGAAGUGAUUUACUCAUGGAGCUGAAGUCAGUCGAAGAUACCAGCUGGCUGCAACUGUUUAUUAAAAACACAGCACUGUGCAAACACGAAAGUGGACGUAUACGGUGUGACGCCUGCCCGGUGCCGGAAGGUUAAUUGAUGGGGUCAGCGCAAGCGAAGCUCCUGAUCGAAGCCCCGGUAAACGGCGGCCGUAACUAUAACGGUCCUAAGGUAGCGAAAUUCCUUGUCGGGUAAGUUCCGACCUGCACGAAUGGCGUAAUGAUGGCCAGGCUGUCUCCACCCGAGACUCAGUGAAAUUGAACUCGCUGUGAAGAUGCAGUGUACCCGCGGCAAGACGGAAAGACCCCGUGAACCUUUACUAUAGCUUGACACUGAACAUUGAGCCUUGAUGUGUAGGAUAGGUGGGAGGCUUUGAAGUGUGGACGCCAGUCUGCAUGGAGCCGACCUUGAAAUACCACCCUUUAAUGUUUGAUGUUCUAACGUGGACCCGUGAUCCGGGUUGCGGACAGUGUCUGGUGGGUAGUUUGACUGGGGCGGUCUCCUCCUAAAGAGUAACGGAGGAGCACGAAGGUUGGCUAAUCCUGGUCGGACAUCAGGAGGUUAGUGCAAUGGCAUAAGCCAGCUUGACUGCGAGCGUGACGGCGCGAGCAGGUGCGAAAGCAGGUCAUAGUGAUCCGGUGGUUCUGAAUGGAAGGGCCAUCGCUCAACGGAUAAAAGGUACUCCGGGGAUAACAGGCUGAUACCGCCCAAGAGUUCAUAUCGACGGCGGUGUUUGGCACCUCGAUGUCGGCUCAUCACAUCCUGGGGCUGAAGUAGGUCCCAAGGGUAUGGCUGUUCGCCAUUUAAAGUGGUACGCGAGCUGGGUUUAGAACGUCGUGAGACAGUUCGGUCCCUAUCUGCCGUGGGCGCUGGAGAACUGAGGGGGGCUGCUCCUAGUACGAGAGGACCGGAGUGGACGCAUCACUGGUGUUCGGGUUGUCAUGCCAAUGGCACUGCCCGGUAGCUAAAUGCGGAAGAGAUAAGUGCUGAAAGCAUCUAAGCACGAAACUUGCCCCGAGAUGAGUUCUCCCUGAGACUUAAAGUCUCCUG
Molecule: ribosomal RNA, 1642 nt
Filed under: Salmonella enterica
Lineage: Bacteria; Pseudomonadati; Pseudomonadota; Gammaproteobacteria; Enterobacterales; Enterobacteriaceae
Description: partial 23S ribosomal RNA
Rfam family: Bacterial large subunit ribosomal RNA
Source: RNAcentral